AGUGGCGCACGGGUGCGUAACACGUAAGUAAUCUACCCCGGACCCUGGGAUAACCCUCCGAAAGGAGGGCUAAUACUGGAUAGGGUCCUCGAGGUGUAAGCUGCGGGGGGAAAGUGGGCCUCUGCUCUAUGCUCACAGUCCGGGAUGAGCUUGCGGCCCAUUAGCUUGUUGGUAAGGUAAUGGCUUACCAAGGCGACGAUGGGUAGCUGGUCUGAGAGGAUGAUCAGCCACACUGGCACUGAGACACGGGCCAGACUCCUACGGGAGGCAGCAGUGGGGAAUUUUGCGCAAUGGGCGAAAGCCUGACGCAGUAACGCCGCGUGGAGGAUGAAGGCCUUCGGGUUGUAAACUCCUGUCAGGAGGAACGACGCAGCCAGGCUGACAAAGCCUGGCCCGCAGACGGUACCUCCAAAGGAAGCCCCGGCUAAUUCCGUGCCAGCAGCCGCGGUAAUACGGAAGGGGCAAGCGUUGUUCGGAAUCAUUGGGCGUAAAGGGCGCGUAGGUGGUUCUGUAUGUCUACUGUGAAAGCGUACAGCUUAACUGUAUUUUGUCGGUAGAAACUGCAGGACUUGAGGCUGGGAGGGGCUGGUGGAAUUCCCUGUGUAGCGGUGAAAUGCGUAGAGAUGGGGGAGAACACUCGUGGCGAAGGCGGCCAGCUAGACCAGUUCUGACACUGAGGCGCGACAGCGUGGGGAGCAAACAGGAUUAGAUACCCUGGUAGUCCACGCCGUAAACGGUGGGCACUAGGUGUGGGGAACAUUCCACGUUCUCCGUGCCGAAGCUAACGCAUUAAGUGCCCCGCCUGGGGAGUACGGCCGCAAGGCUAAAACUCAAAGGAAUUGACGGGGGCCCGCACAAGCGGCGGAGCAUGCGGAUUAAUUCGAUGCGACGCGAAGAACCUUACCUGGGUUUGACAUAUACCGGAAAGCUGCAGAGAUGCAGCCCCCGCAAGGUCGGUAUACAGGUGGUGCAUGGCUGUCGUCAGCUCGUGUCGUGAGAUGUUGGGUUAAGUCCCGCAACGAGCGCAACCCUCGUCCUAUGUUGCCAGCGGAUAAUGCCGGGGACUCAUAGGAGACUGCCGGGGUCAACUCGGAGGAAGGUGGGGAUGACGUCAAGUCAUCAUGCCCCUUAAGUCCAGGGCUUCACGCAUGCUACAAUGGCUGGUACAAAGGGCUGCGAUACCGCAAGGUUGAGCGAAUCCCAAAAGGCCAGUCUCAGUUCGGAUUGGGGUCUGCAACCCGACCCCAUGAAGUCGGAGUCGCUAGUAAUCGCAGAUCAGCAAUGCUGCGGUGAAUACGUUCCCGGGCCUUGUACACACCGCCCGUCAAGUCAUGAAAGUCGGUAACACCCGAAGCCGGUGGCCCAACCCUUUUGGGAGGGAGCCGUCGAAGGUGGGACUGGCGAUUAGGACUAAGUCGUAACAAGGUAGCC
RNAcentral lists this ribosomal RNA (1431 nucleotides) under uncultured Pseudomonadota bacterium. Its description in RNAcentral is "uncultured proteobacterium partial 16S ribosomal RNA". It matches the Rfam family "Bacterial small subunit ribosomal RNA". Lineage: Bacteria; Pseudomonadati; Pseudomonadota. The record is from RNAcentral.